Molecule: non-coding RNA, 45 nt
Organism: Echinostoma caproni
Lineage: Eukaryota; Metazoa; Platyhelminthes; Trematoda; Plagiorchiida; Echinostomatidae
Source: Rfam
GCACUGCUGAUGAGACCCAACCGGGUCGAAACAGCUGUCCAGUGC